This 106-nucleotide transfer RNA is filed under the name Macroventuria anomochaeta. RNAcentral describes it as "tRNA-Met". It matches the Rfam family "tRNA". Rfam says of the family: Transfer RNA (tRNA) molecules are approximately 80 nucleotides in length. Their secondary structure includes four short double-helical elements and three loops (D, anti-codon, and T loops). RNAcentral also lists the same sequence under 4 other names. The record is from RNAcentral. Lineage: Eukaryota; Fungi; Ascomycota; Dothideomycetes; Pleosporales; Didymellaceae.
GCUUCCUUGGUGUAGUCGGUUAUCACGUCGGUCUCAUAUCUCGUCGAGUAUGACUGUUCCAAGAACAGAAAUCCGAAGGCCGCCAGUUCGAAUCUGGCAGGGAGCA